GACGGGGACCCGCACAAGCAGUGGAGCAUGUGGUUUAAUUCGAAGCAACGCGAAGAACCUUACCAGGUCUUGACAUGGAGAUGACCGGCUGGUAACGCAGCCUUUCCUUCGGGACAUCUCACACAGGUGGUGCAUGGUUGUCGUCAGCUCGUGUCGUGAGAUGUUGGGUUAAGUCCCGCAACGAGCGCAACCCUUAUUGCCAGUAGCCAGCAGGUAAAGCUGGGCACUCUGGCGAGACUGCCCGGGAUAACCGGGAGGAAGGUGGGGAUGACGUCAAAUCAUCAUGCCCCUUAUGGUCUGGGCAACACACGUGCUACAAUGGCGUAAACAGAGAGAAGCGAACCUGCGAGGGGGAGCAAAUCUUCAAAUAACGUCUCAGUUCGGACUGUAGUCUGCAACCCGACUACACGAAGCUGGAAUUGCUAGUAAUCGCGAAUCAGCAUGUCGCGGUGAAUACGUUCCCGGGUCUUGUACACACCGCCCGUCACACCAUGGGAGUCAGCAACGCCCGAAGUCAGUGACCCAACCUUUCAGGAGGGAGCUGCCGAAGGCGGGGCGGAUNACUGGGGUGAAGUCGUAACAAGGAGGCCGUUCGAAA
RNAcentral lists this ribosomal RNA (598 nucleotides) under uncultured bacterium. RNAcentral's name for it is "bacterial SSU rRNA". It matches the Rfam family "Bacterial small subunit ribosomal RNA", at positions 912 to 1509 of the family's 1533-position model. The record is from RNAcentral.